GAUGAACGCUGGCGGCGUGCCUAAUACAUGCCAGUCGAGCGAACAGAUGAGGAGCUUGCUCCUCUGACGUUAGCGGCGGACGGGUGAGUAACACGUGGAUAACCUACCUAUAAGACUGGGAUAACUUCGGGAAACCGGAGCUAAUACCGGAUAAUAUAUUGAACCGCAUGGUUCAAUAGUGAAAGACGGUUUUGCUGUCACUUAUAGAUGGAUCCGCGCCGCAUUAGCUAGUUGGUAAGGUAACGGCUUACCAAGGCAACGAUGCGUAGCCGACCUGAGAGGGUGAUCGGCCACACUGGAACUGAGACACGGUCCAGACUCCUACGGGAGGCAGCAGUAGGGAAUCUUCCGCAAUGGGCGAAAGCCUGACGGAGCAACGCCGCGUGAGUGAUGAAGGUCUUCGGAUCGUAAAACUCUGUUAUUAGGGAAGAACAGAUGUGUAAGUAACUAUGCACGUCUUGACGGUACCUAAUCAGAAAGCCACGGCUAACUACGUG
RNAcentral lists this ribosomal RNA (497 nucleotides) under uncultured bacterium. RNAcentral's name for it is "partial 16S ribosomal RNA". It matches the Rfam family "Bacterial small subunit ribosomal RNA", at positions 28 to 507 of the family's 1533-position model. The record is from RNAcentral.